UAGAGUUUGAUCAUGGCUCAGAGUGAACGCUGGCGGCAGGCCUAAUACAUGCAAGUCGAACGGCAGCACAGCAGAGCUUGCUCUGUGGGUGGCGAGUGGCGGACGGGUGAGGAAUACAUGGGAAUCUGCCCAGUCGUGGGGGAUAACCUCGGGAAACCGGGACUAAUACCGCAUGCGCCCUACGGGGGAAAGCAGGGGAUCUUCGGACCUUGCGCGAUUGGAUGAGCCCAUGUUCGAUUAGCUAGUUGGCGGGGUAAAGGCCCACCAAGGCGACGAUCGAUAGCUGGUCUGAGAGGAUGAUCAGCCGCACUGGAACUGAGACACGGUCCAGACUCCUACGGGAGGCAGCAGUAGGGAAUAUUGGACAAUGGGGGCAACCCUGAUCCAGCCAUGCCGCGUGAGUGGAGAAGGCCCUCGGGUUGUAAAGCUCUUUUGUCCGGAAAGAAAAGCGCGGGGUUAAUACCCCCGUGUCCUGACGGUACCGGAAGAAUAAGCACCGGCUAACUUCGUGCCAGCAGCCGCGGUAAU
RNAcentral lists this ribosomal RNA (528 nucleotides) under uncultured Thermomonas sp. RNAcentral describes it as "bacterial SSU rRNA". It matches the Rfam family "Bacterial small subunit ribosomal RNA", at positions 1 to 524 of the family's 1533-position model. Lineage: Bacteria; Pseudomonadati; Pseudomonadota; Gammaproteobacteria; Lysobacterales; Lysobacteraceae. The record is from RNAcentral.